This 583-nucleotide ribosomal RNA is filed under the name Salmonella enterica subsp. enterica serovar Typhimurium. RNAcentral describes it as "bacterial SSU rRNA". It matches the Rfam family "Bacterial small subunit ribosomal RNA", at positions 1 to 573 of the family's 1533-position model. The record is from RNAcentral. Lineage: Bacteria; Pseudomonadati; Pseudomonadota; Gammaproteobacteria; Enterobacterales; Enterobacteriaceae.
AAAUUGAAGAGUUUGAUCAUGGCUCAGAUUGAACGCUGGCGGCAGGCCUAACACAUGCAAGUCGAACGGUAACAGGAAGCAGCUUGCUGCUUUGCUGACGAGUGGCGGACGGGUGAGUAAUGUCUGGGAAACUGCCUGAUGGAGGGGGAUAACUACUGGAAACGGUGGCUAAUACCGCAUAACGUCGCAAGACCAAAGAGGGGGACCUUCGGGCCUCUUGCCAUCAGAUGUGCCCAGAUGGGAUUAGCUUGUUGGUGAGGUAACGGCUCACCAAGGCGACGAUCCCUAGCUGGUCUGAGAGGAUGACCAGCCACACUGGAACUGAGACACGGUCCAGACUCCUACGGGAGGCAGCAGUGGGGAAUAUUGCACAAUGGGCGCAAGCCUGAUGCAGCCAUGCCGCGUGUAUGAAGAAGGCCUUCGGGUUGUAAAGUACUUUCAGCGGGGAGGAAGGUGUUGCGGUUAAUAACCGCAGCAAUUGACGUUACCCGCAGAAGAAGCACCGGCUAACUCCGUGCCAGCAGCCGCGGUAAUACGGAGGGUGCAAGCGUUAAUCGGAAUUACUGGGCGUAAAGCGCACGCA